CCGCCGCGCAGGUUAAUUGAACACGCGACAGAAAGGUUCCGCCUGCUUCCGACCCGAACCUGCGGUGGAACCCGGAUGUAGCUGAGGCGAAACUGGGACAUUGCGCCCCCUGGUGUCGCACGGAGGUCUCGCGCAGUUUCUCUCGGAAAGAGGAGGACGUUGGUAGCCGUGGUCCCAGGUUCCUGCAUGGCGAUCAAUGGUUGGCUGAUGCUGAGUGGUGGUGGCUGAGAUCGCAGCUGCCACCAUCCUACCUUCCUUACACCUGCCUGGCCCCCGAGGACAGAAACCAUACAUUUCCGCAUGACACCCCAGAACCUUUUUACAUUUGUUUCUCCUCUCAUCACUUUUACUCUUCUACCAUAUGCUGGUCCCUGGGCUCACCGUUUCUCUACACAAUUGUGUUCACCGGGCACUUGGCCUGUCGUGCCUUUCCCUUUCCUGGCGUCUUGGCAAGUUCCUGCCUGUCCUCAAGUUCUAGCUCAAGAAGGAUGCCCACGAAAUAGAGUGAUGAUUUUUCCUCUAGCACUAUGUUUUACAGCCCUUACUACACUUGACUGUAAUUGUUCACAAGUUUGUUCUUCUUACUAGGUAAUAAACUUCUUGGGGGCAGUGUCUGUCUAGUUAUCUAUCAAAACACCUAAGAUACUUCUUGGCACAUAAUAGAUGGUCAAUAGGUGUUUGCUGACUGACUGAAUGAAUAAACAUG
Long non-coding RNA from Rhinolophus ferrumequinum (greater horseshoe bat), 706 nucleotides. RefSeq lists it as uncharacterized. The transcript has 3 exons. Lineage: Eukaryota; Metazoa; Chordata; Mammalia; Chiroptera; Rhinolophidae. The record is from RefSeq and is a predicted model, not a curated record.